Molecule: RNA transcript, 2688 nt
Organism: Pan troglodytes (chimpanzee)
Lineage: Eukaryota; Metazoa; Chordata; Mammalia; Primates; Hominidae
Gene: BEND6
Gene name: BEN domain containing 6
Exons: 8
Source: RefSeq, a predicted model, not a curated record
GGCAGCGCGGGCGCGCGGACAUGGCUGCGGCGGUUUCGGCGGCGGCCGCGGGCUGCACCCGGGCCUGAGAGCCCAGCGCCCUCCCGCGGGGCCGCCCGCCAGUCCGCGCCGUCCGCGGGUGCAUUGGCCGGGUGCCUCUAGCUUCCCGGACACCCGGAGCUUCCGCCUAUCCAGCCUCCCUCGGCCAAAUUGCUGCGGAGCCCGUCGUCAGGGGGCGCCAAGGAGCCAGGGGGAAAACCGUGAGGCGCUGACAGGAGCCUCCCGGCGGUGCUACCCUCCACCUCCCACCUCCCUGCGCCCCGCCCCGAGGUUGGGGCUUUGAAGGAUGCAGCCGGGGAAAGCAUUAACUUUUGAGCUACGUCCAGAAUAGCAUCAUCUUCAUGGGUAUUCCCUACUCCUAGGAUUUCAGAAAACCUUUGAUAACUAAUUGAGAAAAUGCAGAAGAUCUUGCAGACAGAUGAAAUUACCAAUACACAAGCUUUUAGAAAAGGAAAGAGGAAAAGAACAGAGACAAUGGACUCAGAAAAUGCAAAUAGUGACAUGGAUAAAGGACAGAGAGACCCAUAUUCGGGAAAUGCCUUUCUGCCUGGUGAAAGCUCCAGUGAGGAUGAAGAGCCUUUAGCAGAAUUGUCAAAGGAAGAAUUGUGCGCCAAAAUAAAAAGCCUGAAAGAAAAACUAACAAACACCCGGAAGGAAAACAGCCGACUUCGACAGUCUUUGGUCAUGCUUCAAGCUUGGUCCAGAGAGCUGCCUUAGAGUCUCCAAUGAAUGUGUUCAAACAGCUGCCUCUGUUACCUUGACUCAUCUCAGAUACGGGUCCUGGCGCUAGGAAUCAAAGACUGUCUCUAUUAUUUUGGCUUGCUCCAGUGUUACCACAAGCAGUCACCCAGUUUGAAGAAUUGGUUGGUAUGGCCGAGGCUCUGCUUAAGGGUGGGGGAAGCAUGUCUACAUCUGCAUCCACCCUCUGGAGAGCAACAAACAACUCCUCGCCAGAUUCAUUUGCCUCAACAUGCAGUAAUUCUAAUUCUAACUCCAGUUCACCAGUUUCCUUAAAGCCUGAGGAAGAGCAUCAGACUGAUGAGAAACAGUUCCAGAUUGAAAAAUGGCAGAUUGCCCGUUGUAACAAGAGCAAGCCUCAGAAGUUUAUUAAUGAUUUAAUGCAAGUACUUUACACAAAUGAAUACAUGGCCACUCACAGCCUGACAGGGGCAAAAUCCUCUACUUCAAGGGACAAAGCUGUAAAACCAGCUAUGAAUCAGAAUGAAGUCCAAGAAAUCAUAGGAGUAACAAAACAAUUAUUUCCCAAUACGGAUGAUGUUUCAAUUAGGAGAAUGAUAGGGCAAAAGCUAAACAACUGUACCAAGAAGCCAAAUUUAAGCAAAAAUCUUAACUCUCAGGAUAUUAAAUAGAUCCUUUUGGUAUUACAGGUAUCUGAAACAAAGCACCUUCAAUUCUAAAUCUAGCACUGGAUUUUGUUGGAGAAUCUGCAGCCUUCCUGGCAGUGAGAAAGACAGACAUGUGCAUUGACAGGCUGUAAGACAUAUGUAACAUUGCUGAGCUCUCCUAAGGGACCAACAAGCUUGCUGAAGAAGCUGCAUGUAGAUUCCACCCUCAGUACUAGUGAUGCAUCAAACCAGAGAAUUUCUGCCAGUCAAAUAAGCAUGCAAUAUGGUUUCUUUGGAAAUAAGAAUUUCCCAAUCCCCAAAUACCCCUCUGUACAGUUAAUCUAACAGGAUAGUCAGAGCUCUUAUCAUAGCAGCCAAAACUUCAGCCCAUAGGUUAGUCAUUGUCCUAACCAAUCAUUGUACGUUGAUUAUUACCAGUGACUUCCCAUUAUAGUUUUUGGAUCUUUAGCAUAAGCACAUGCUUGCAAAAGUAAACAGUGAAAUAAUUAAUGUUGGCAAAUAUGGGAACAACAAAGUCAGCCCAAAAUCUGAUAAUCAUGUCUAACCAAGUAAUAAUGUUUUAGCAAUAAAAUUACAGGAUUAUUCUGUUAUCUAAAAAUGUAUAAAAUGGGAAUAUGAAAAAAAUGACAACAGCAAGAUGUUUUAUUUUAAUAUUAAACAAUUCCACCACACUUCUGAAGAAUAAACCUAAGUUUUUGUGAUUGUUAAAACAAUGCAUCAAUUUUCAGGGAAAUCUUUUUGUUUGUUUAUUUACCAGACAUGUUCUAACUUUGUAUUGCCCCAAGUAUAUUAAAUACAGAUGUGUAAUAUAAAGCAUCAAUAUCACCUAACACAUCGUAUAUAAGAUAUAACAUGAUAGAUAGUUGGUCGAUUACAUUGCUAUACUGCUUAGUUUUAACUGGUUUAUUUUUAUUGUAGCAGAAGAAAAAUGAACUUAAAAAAAAUAUGGGUUUGAUAAUCACACACAUGAAAGUACCAUUUUGUAACUCAACAAAAGAUAAAACAUUCUUCAUCAAAAGGCUUCUCGCUUGGUGUCAGGUUGUCACAUGUGACCACUGUGCAAUGCGAAGCCAUACUUCUUCAGUGCACAAAGUCAUGUUUAAACUUGGAAAAGAGGAUGCUACAGUAGUUUCAAAGUUCAGUGUUGUGGACCCAGGAAAUUUUCCAUAAGUCUUGCUUGAUAACAAUGUGAUUGUACAAAAUAAAUGUUCUUAAGGAAACAACUUAUGUAACAUUUGCUACCUUUAUGUAAACAUAAAUAAAUCCCAUUUAAAAGAUAAAA